This 125-nucleotide small nucleolar RNA is filed under the name Echinops telfairi (small Madagascar hedgehog). Its description in RNAcentral is "Small nucleolar RNA SNORA61 (ENSETEG00000026906.1)". The record is from RNAcentral. Lineage: Eukaryota; Metazoa; Chordata; Mammalia; Afrosoricida; Tenrecidae.
UGCCUCCAGACUUCUUACCCCGCAGACCUAAUCCCUGGUCUGAGCGGCUCAAAAAAAAGGGAGGAGAAGUCAAAGUGAAGUGAACUUGGAGUGUUUUGUGACAUACAAGUUCAUUUCAAACGUGG